Molecule: ribosomal RNA, 500 nt
Filed under: uncultured bacterium
Lineage: Bacteria
Description: bacterial SSU rRNA
Rfam family: Bacterial small subunit ribosomal RNA
Source: RNAcentral
AUUGAACGCUGGCGGCAUGCCUUACACAUGCAAGUCGAACAGUAACGCGGGGCAACCUGGCGACGAGUGGCGAACGGGUGAGUAAUGCAUCGGAACGUGCCCAGUAGUGGGGGAUAGCCCGGCGAAAGCCGGAUUAAUACCGCAUACGACCUACGGGUGAAAGGGGGGGAUCGCAAGACCUCUCGCUAUUGGAGCGGCCGAUGUCAGAUUAGGUAGUUGGUGGGGUAAAGGCCUACCAAGCCGACGAUCUGUAGCUGGUCUGAGAGGACGACCAGCCACACUGGGACUGAGACACGGCCCAGACUCCUACGGGAGGCAGCAGUGGGGAAUUUUGGACAAUGGGCGCAAGCCUGAUCCAGCCAUGCCGCGUGCGGGAAGAAGGCCUUCGGGUUGUAAACCGCUUUUGUCAGGGAAGAAAUCCUCUGGGUUAAUACCUCGGGGGGAUGACGGUACCUGAAGAAUAAGCACCGGCUAACUACGUGCCAGCAGCCGCGGUAAUA